This 402-nucleotide transfer-messenger RNA is filed under the name Actinospineispora eucalypti. Its description in RNAcentral is "Pseudonocardia eucalypti Standard tmRNA". It matches the Rfam family "transfer-messenger RNA". Rfam says of the family: Bacterial tmRNA, also known as 10Sa RNA or SsrA, is named for its dual tRNA and mRNA-like properties. Its role is to liberate the mRNA from a stalled ribosome. The record is from RNAcentral. Lineage: Bacteria; Bacillati; Actinomycetota; Actinomycetes; Pseudonocardiales; Pseudonocardiaceae.
GGGGGUGAACGGUUUCGACUUCGGACGUUGAUCAAGGGGAAGCGUGUCGAGGAAGGCGACGAUGAUCUCGUUAACCACCCGUCGCAAACCAAUUAAGCGCCAACAAUGUUGUCGCCAGGCCGUUUGUUGCUUCGAACCAGGGCGAGGUCACCCUCGCCGGUUAGUUCUUAGCUAGGCCUUGUCGGCCCGGGAUUGUUCCCGACCCGGUGUCCGGCAUCAGCUAGGGGACUUACCGCUCGACCCGGUCGCAGGGGUCGGACGGGAAAUCAAACAGCGACUGGGAUCGUCACACCGGCUUGUUCGCGGGACCGGUGGAUCCAAGCAGAGACACAGCGGACUGCACACGGAGAAGCCCUCGUGAAGCGCCGGAGGACCCGGGUUCGAUUCCCGGCACCUCCACUC